Molecule: ribosomal RNA, 814 nt
Filed under: uncultured bacterium
Lineage: Bacteria
Description: bacterial SSU rRNA
Rfam family: Bacterial small subunit ribosomal RNA
Source: RNAcentral
CAAGUCGAACGGUUGUAGCGAUACAGCAGUGGCAGACGGGUGAGUAACACGUGGGAACCUUCCUAGGGGUACGGAACAACUCAGGGAAACUUGAGCUAAUACCGUAUGUGUCCGAGAGGAGAAAGAUUUAUCGCCCUUAGACGGGCCCGCGUCGGAUUAGCUAGUUGGUGGGGUAACGGCCUACCAAGGCGACGAUCCGUAGCUGAUCUUAGAGGAUGAUCAGCCACACUGGGACUGAGACACGGCCCAGACUCCUACGGGAGGCAGCAGUGGGGAAUCUUGGACAAUGGGCGCAAGCCUGAUCCAGCCAUGCCGCGUGAGUGAAGAAGGUCUUCGGAUUGUAAAGCUCUUUUGCCAGGGACGAUAAUGACGGUACCUGGAGAAUAAGCCCCGGCAAACUUCGUGCCAGCAGCCACGGUAAUACGAAGGGGGCUAGCGUUGUUUGGAAUUACUGGGCGUAAAGCGCACGUAGGCGGGCCGUUAAGUCAGGGGUGAAAUCCCGGAGCUCAACUCCGGAACUGCCUUUGAUACUGGCGGUCUCGAGAUCGGAAGAGGUGAGUGGAAUUCCCAGUGUAGAGGUGAAAUUCGUAGAUAUUGGGAAGAACACCGGUGGCGAAGGCGGCUCACUGGUCCGAUACUGACGCUGAGGUGCGAAAGCGUGGGGGAGCAAACAGGAUUAGAUACCCUGGUAGUCCACGCCGUAAACUAUGGAAGCUAGCCGUCAGUCAGCUUGCUGAGUGGUGGCGCAGCUAACGCAUUAAGCUUCCCGCCUGGGGAGUACGGUCGCAAGAUUAAAACUCAAAGGAAUUGACGG